This 253-nucleotide ribosomal RNA is filed under the name uncultured bacterium. RNAcentral describes it as "partial 16S ribosomal RNA". It matches the Rfam family "Bacterial small subunit ribosomal RNA", at positions 524 to 776 of the family's 1533-position model. The record is from RNAcentral.
UACGUAGGUGGCAAGCGUUGUCCGGAUUUACUGGGCGUAAAGAGCGCGCAGGCGGUCGUUCAAGUCGCGUGUGAAAGCCCCCGGCUCAACUGGGGAGGGUCACGCGAUACUGAUCGACUCGAAGGCAGGAGAGGGAAGUGGAAUUCCCGGUGUAGUGGUGAAAUGCGUAGAUAUCGGGAAGAACACCAGUGGCGAAAGCGCUCUACUGGGCCAUGACUGACACUGAGGGACGAAAGCUAGGGGAGCGAACAGG